AAUAAAUAAUUUAUUAAAAAAAAAAAUUUUUUUUUAAUUAAUAAAAAUAAUUUUAUAUAUUUGAUUUUUUAGUAUAUUUUAUAGAAAAAAUAAUAUUAAUGAUAGUUGAUUUGUAUUGUAAAAGAUAAUUGAAAUAUUUAUUUUUAUUGUUUAAAAGUAAAAUUUAUUUUUUGUACCUUGUGUAUCAGGGUUUAUUAAAUAAAAAUUAAUAAAAUUAAUUUUCUCGAUUUUAAGAGAGUAAAUAAAUUAUUUUUUUUAUUGUAAAAAAAAUAUUUAAAAUAAUUUAUUAGUAAUGAAAUGUUAUUCGUUCUUAAAUAUAUCUAGUUUAUUUAGAAAUGAAUUUAAUUCAGAUAUUUUUAUUUAUAUAAAUUAAUUAGUUAAUUUAUAUAAUUUUUAAAUAUUAAUAAUUAAAGGGAUUAGCUUUUAAUUAAAAAUUUAUAAAUUAAUAAUAAUUUUUAAAAAAUGUAGGUUUAGAAAUAGCUAUCAUUUAUAAUUUGUUAUAAUUAAUUUAAUUAAAAAUAUUAUUUUAUAUUGUUUUAAAUUUUUUAUAAAUAAAUAAUUUUUAAUUUAAACAAAUUAGAUAUAAUGAUAUAAUUAGUAUAAAUUAAUAUUUAAAUAAUUUUUUUAUAAAAGAUUAUUUAAAGGAAUUCGGCAAAAAUUUUACUCGCCUGUUUAACAAAAACAUGUCUUUUUGAAAUAUAUUUAAAGUCUAACCUGCCCACUGAAAUUUUUAAAUGGCCGCAGUAAUUUGACUGUGCAAAGGUAGCAUAAUCAUUAGUUUUUUAAUUAAAAGCUUGUAUGAAGGGUUGGACGAAGUAAAAUCUGUCUCUAAAUAAUUUAAAUUAGAAUUUAAUUUUUAAGUUAAAAAGCUUAAAUUUUUAUAAUAGACGAGAAGACCCUAUAGAGCUUUAUAUUAAUUUUUAUUAUUAUAUAUUUAGGUUUAUUAAAAUUAUAGUUUAGUUAAUAUUUUAUUGGGGUAAUAAAAAGAUUAAAAAAAUUCUUUUUUUUUAUUAUCAUUAAUUUAUGAAUUUAAUGAUCCAAUUUUAUUGAUUAUAAGAUUAAGUUACCUUAGGGAUAACAGCGUAAUUUUUUUAAAGAGUUCAUAUCGAAAAAAAAGUUUGCGACCUCGAUGUUGGAUUAAAGAUUAAUUUAGGUGUAGAAGUUUAAAUUUUUGGUCUGUUCGACCAUUAAAUCUUUACAUGAUCUGAGUUCAGACCGGCGUAAGCCAGGUCGGUUUCUAUCUUUAUUUAGUAAAAAUAUUUUAGUACGAAAGGACCAAAUAUUUAAUAAAAUUUUAUUUUAUUUUUGAAUAUUAUU
RNAcentral lists this ribosomal RNA (1317 nucleotides) under Lebia chlorocephala. RNAcentral's name for it is "16S ribosomal RNA". The stretch from base 1074 to 1232 matches the Rfam family "Archaeal large subunit ribosomal RNA", at positions 2542 to 2701 of the family's 2987-position model. The record is from RNAcentral. Lineage: Eukaryota; Metazoa; Arthropoda; Insecta; Coleoptera; Carabidae.